CCGAGAGGUGAAAGGCUUGCUGCCUGGGGAAGAGCUUGCGUCUGAUUAGCUAGUUGGUAGUGUAAGAGACUACCAAGGCGACGAUCAGUAGCUGGUCUGAGAGGAUGAUCAGCCACACUGGGACUGAGACACGGCCCAGACUCCUACGGGAGGCAGCAGUGGGGAAUUUUCCGCAAUGGGCGAAGCCUGACGGAGCAAUACCGCGUGAGGGAGGAAGGCUCNNGGUUGUAAACCUCUUUUCUCAGGGAAGAAAAAAAUGACGGUACCUGAGGAAUAAGCAUCGGCUAACUCCGUGCCAGCAGCCGCGGUAAUACGGAGGAUGCAAGCGUUAUCCGGAAUGAUUGGGCGUAAAGGGUCCGCAGGUGGCAUUGUAAGNCUGCUGUUAAAGAGUCUAGCUCAACUAGAUAAGAGCAGUGGAAACUACAAAGCUAGAGUUUGGUCGGGGCAGAAGGAAUUCCUGGUGUAGCGGUGAAAUGCGUAGAUAUCAGGAAGAACACCGUGGCGAAGGCGUUCUGCUAGGCCGAGACUGACACUGAGGGACGAAAGCUAGGGGAGCGAAUGGGAUUAGAUACCCCAGUAGUCCUAGCCGUAAACGAUGGAUACUAGGCGUAGCUCGUAUCGACCCGAGCUGUGCCGGAGCUAACGCGUUAAGUAUCCCGCCUGGGGAGUACGCAGGCAACUGUGAAACUCAAAGGAAUUGACGGGGGCCCGCACAAGCGGUGGAG
This 725-nucleotide ribosomal RNA is filed under the name Dolichospermum spiroides HSSASE18. RNAcentral's name for it is "bacterial SSU rRNA". It matches the Rfam family "Bacterial small subunit ribosomal RNA", at positions 193 to 937 of the family's 1533-position model. Lineage: Bacteria; Bacillati; Cyanobacteriota; Cyanophyceae; Nostocales; Aphanizomenonaceae. The record is from RNAcentral.